Molecule: long non-coding RNA, 1062 nt
Organism: Cebus imitator (Panamanian white-faced capuchin)
Lineage: Eukaryota; Metazoa; Chordata; Mammalia; Primates; Cebidae
Exons: 3
Source: RefSeq, a predicted model, not a curated record
AGCGUCUCCGCAGGCCAGCGACUCUGGAAUCAUUUACCACAGAAUCUGACUGUCAACUCUUUGUCAUAAGAAGAUGCAGAUCUUCUCUAUGUGAGAUGCUAAGAGGUACCCAGACGGUGCCUAGCAUUGUUCUUAGAAGAGCAAGAACCUGUGCAAAGGAAAUUGACAGCAAUGGAGUUAAAGUCACACGGGGAUGUUUGUUUUUCUUCCUGGAAGCUGCACAGUGUAUGAUAAAAAUGCUGUAGAUCUCUCAGAAAUGCUACUGAAGAAGGCAAACGUACGCAGAUGAUGACAGCGUUAUUUUUCCAAAAGAUUAUAAUAUUCAAAAUAACAUCUCAUCAGAGAGAAACUACCUUCCAUCAAAGACCAUCAGAAUCCAAGGAAUCAUGCAGCCUGCACACCCCCUGCUUGUUCUCAGCAGUUUCUCUCUGGCAUGCCUCCGUGGACCCUGGACAAAUAGACCCUCAAAUCAGUGAGGCUGAUGAAUAAAGGCAAUUUGAAGCCUCUCUCCUCCAGGAUUAAAGACAGUUUCUAAAGUGCUUGCAGCAAGUCAGCUUAUGGUCAAAGUGCAAACCAAGAAGAAACAUCAGAUAUGGGUCACAAAGAUGAAUGAGGAAGAUUUGACUAUGUCAGUCAGAGUCUGCCUGGAAGACAGCUCAUGCCCAGAUGGUUUAUCAUCGGUGUCUAAUACAAAAGCAAGUUAAGGAGGUACUGGAAGGUCUGAAAACAAGGAAAGUGAAGCAAUCUAGACAUUGACGACUGCAGGAAGCUGUUAGGAGGUGCAAAGAUAAGGGAUACCAGGGUCCAGGAGCCGGGGCCUUUGAGGGCUGAUCUGCUUGGUGAGAACAGACUUCCAGGAGAGACAAAACACAUGCUGGAAAAGCCUGUGAACACAGAGGGGAGUUACUAAUACCGUGACUUCACCCCUCCUCCACCCACCCACUAAUUUCCUGUAAGUGUAUCCAUUGGCUGAACCUAACAGGAAGUGGUGGGUAAAGGCUUCUGGGAAGUGUAGUUUACAUUGUUAGCCCACUGUUCUACGGGGCAAGGAUGGGCUUCCUG